UCUCUUUUCUGUUUUUUACUGCCACCUUCCCUCUCUGUUCUCAUUCACUUACUUUUUUUCCAUGUACUUUCUUCUUCGUGUAUAAUUUGAUUGAUCUGUUUUGUUUUAUUUGGCAGAUAUUGAUUAUAAAAUCAUCGAAAAAGAAACUAUUAGCGAAAGAGAAAUCAAUAUAAUUUUUCUUUUUGAAAGAAAGAUUCCUGCAGGUAUAUUUACUGAUUACAAUCUAGGGUUUUUGCACCUUGAUUGUAUGAUUCUGUUCUUUUGAAUGCUAGAUCUAUAAAGAAAUUUAGAGGGAGAAAUGUUACAAGCAUUAUAGAAGAAACUUAUUGUAGGGAUUGAGAAAAGCCCUGAGCUAGGGCAGAAGGUAUGUUUACGUUGUAGAAGCAUGUUUUUCUUCAAUUUUAAGUUUUAGUUACUGAACAAAAUUUCGAGUCUUCAAUUGCACUAAGUAUUCUGUGAAUUUCAACAUUAAGUUUUUUAAGUUUGCUGUGUAUCAGAAAGAUCCGCUCAAAGCGAGAUCAUUGUUGCAUCUUGAUAUAAAUUGAGGGUCAACAUUAGGCAUACCGGUAUUGGAUUUUCACUUGCAUGCUAAUCGUUUUGCUGCAUACCUAACUGAUUGUUUCAUUUUUGUUGCAUACAUGUAUCCAAGUUCUUAAUGUGAUUAUGUGCAGGCAACCAUAACGAGAAUACAAAAACAAUGGAUGGUGGGUGAAAUUUGUUUUCUUAAAUAUGAAGCCAAAGUAAUGUGCAUCAUCAUUACCUGUACUUUCUUUCCUAGACAUUAUGCAUGUGGAAGUUUUACGUACCAGCUAAUCGUUGUACGGCAUACCCCUAACUGACUGUUUCAUUUUUGCUGCACAUAUGUAUCCCGGAUCUUGAUGUUAUAUGCAAGGCAGCAGUAACGGGAACACUGGCAAAAUUGUACUAUACCCUGUUCGCGACAAAAGGUGAUCAACGCAAGGCUUCUAAAGAGUUGGAAGUCUGGAAACUAUAAAACCAAUCAGACAAUGUCACUGAGGCAUUUUGCAAUCUGCGAUAUUUGAAACAAGCUAAUGGACAACAGUGUACGCACAAAACAUAAGAACCAACUGCAGUAAUUAAAAAUGGGACAUCCCUUGCUUGAAAAAUGAUGUUGACUUGAGGUUAAUGCUGGAAAUUAGGAGGAUCUUGGCAGGAAUCACCGUAAGUUUUACACUUUAUGUGAUUUGAACUUUGCAGCUUCAGAAUCAUGCUCCAACUUUUAAUGAAUCUACACAGGAAACAAUGCACUCUUUCGUUUUCUGCUACUUAUAUGUUAGUUCGAGAUGAUUUUAUGUUGAAACCUUUGACAAUAAGGUUCUAGAAAACUUGGAUCAAAUGUCGAGAAAAUUUGGUCACUUUUAUCUAUUUAUCAUGCAUCACAACUAGGGAGUUCGAAAACACGGACCAAAUGACUGUUUACGAGGAUAACGAGAAGCUUGAUAUUACAAAUCUGAUGAAGUUAGUAGUUAUAGACCCAACUGUUACAGAGAACUUAAGAUACUUGGAAUCAAAAAUGGUUUGGCUGCUGUCCUAACUGACAGCCCAAUGUUUCCUUCAUAGGUAAAAUUUUGAGUUUCAAAAAUGGUUUGGCUGCUGUCCUAAUUGACAGGCCAAUGUUUCCUUCAUAGGUAAAAUUUUUAGUUUCGUGCGACAAGGAUGCCCCUUAUAACUAAGUGUAUGGCAAGAUCAUGAUCCAUAUAUCAUAAUUAUGAAGAUUUUUCUUUUUGUAGCUGCAGUACGGACAAAUUUUUGGCAGAGAUUUUAGCAAUACCAACCGGCCUAGAACAAUGGAUUUUGUGCGUAUCAAACGAUAUCUUUAGGCAGCAGAUCCUCUGCCAAAAGGGUCCAUUAUUUUGGGAAGGUCACAAUACCAUUUUUUAGGAAGCCCAGAUUCUACUGUUUUUUGUGGCUAGCCAUGUAAUUUGUACUUAAGUCUUCCCUUUCCUGUUGUUUGUUACACUGUUUUCAGUUUUUUCCCUGCCAUGUUAUAUAAAUGGAAAACAACUAUCGUUUUUCCAAACAUGAUAUAUAAAUUAAGCGCGAUAUUUAAAAUUC
Papaver somniferum (opium poppy) is the source of this 2076-nucleotide long non-coding RNA. RefSeq lists it as uncharacterized. NCBI's taxonomy places the organism in Eukaryota, Viridiplantae, Streptophyta, Magnoliopsida, Ranunculales, Papaveraceae. The transcript is spliced from 3 exons. The record is from RefSeq and is a predicted model, not a curated record.